AUUGAACGCUGGCGGCAUGCCUUACACAUGCAAGUCGAACGGUAACAGGUUAAGCUGACGAGUGGCGAACGGGUGAGUAACAUAUCGGAACGUGCCCAGUCGUGGGGGAUAACGCAGCGAAAGCUGUGCUAAUACCGCAUACGAUCUACGGAUGAAAGCGGGGGAUCGCAAGACCUCGCGCGAUUGGAGCGGCCGAUAUCAGAUUAGCUAGUUGGGGAGGUAAAGGCUCACCAAGGCAACGAUCUGUAGGUGGUCUGAGAGGACGAACAGGCACACUGGAACUGAGUCACGGUCCAGACUCCUACGGGAGGCAGCAGUGGGGAAUUGUGGACAAUGGGCGCAAGCCUGAUCCAGCAAUGCCGCGUGCGGGAUGAAGGCCUUCGGGUUGUAAACUGCUUUUGUACGGAGCGAAGCGGCUCUCUCUAAUACAGAGGGCUAAUGGCGGUACCGUAAGAAUAAGCACCGGCUAACUACGUGCCAGCCGCCGCCGUAA
Molecule: ribosomal RNA, 493 nt
Filed under: uncultured bacterium
Lineage: Bacteria
Description: partial 16S ribosomal RNA
Rfam family: Bacterial small subunit ribosomal RNA
Source: RNAcentral